GAUGAACGCUGGCGGCGUGCCUAAUACAUGCAAGUCGAACGGACUGUGGUAAUUAUGAUUGAAGAGCUUGCUCGGAGAGAUUAAUUACAAUGCAGUCAGUGGCGAACGGGUGAGUAACACGUGGGAAACCUACCUCUUAGCAGGGGAUAACAUUUGGAAACAGAUGCUAAUACCGUAUAACAAUUAGAACCGCAUGGUUCAAGUUUAAAAGAUGGUUCUGCUAUCACUAGGAGAUGGUCCCGCGGCGUAUUAGCUAGAUGGUGAGGUAAUGGCUCACCAUGGCAAUGAUACGUAGCCGAGUUGAGAGACUGAUCGGCCACAUUGGGACUGAGACACGGCCCAAACUCCUACGGGAGGCAGCAGUAGGGAAUCGUUCCACAACUGGACGAAAGUCUGAUGGAGCAACGCCGCGUGUGUGAUGAAGGCUUUCGGGUCGUAAAACGACUGUUAUAAGAGAAGAACGUCAAGUGAGAGUAACUGUU
RNAcentral lists this ribosomal RNA (482 nucleotides) under uncultured bacterium. RNAcentral's name for it is "bacterial SSU rRNA". It matches the Rfam family "Bacterial small subunit ribosomal RNA", at positions 28 to 469 of the family's 1533-position model. The record is from RNAcentral.